Long non-coding RNA from Cucurbita pepo subsp. pepo (vegetable marrow), 539 nucleotides. RefSeq lists it as uncharacterized. The record is from RefSeq and is a predicted model, not a curated record. Lineage: Eukaryota; Viridiplantae; Streptophyta; Magnoliopsida; Cucurbitales; Cucurbitaceae.
GAUGUGGAUGUUCUUGUAUUUCCAUGAACCCCGAGUUCUGCUCCUCCAAAUCUGUUAUAAUAAAGUACUUUUUUUAAGUAUCUUCAGUUCUCAAGGUCAAAAGCAGAAUGAAUCCAGAAAUCAUGAGAUUCAGGGGUCCUGAACCGAAGAGCAAUUACCUGAGCUUCAUUGGUUGUGGUCUGAUUUUACUGCGUUCUCAAAAUGCAAUUCCGUUAAAAGGUGGAAGUAUUGGAUGGGUGCAGCAUAUCCGGCCCUCGUGAGUAAAGUCUGCAGCUGACUCUUAGAAUUGUCACCACCAGGUCCACUUUCAAUUCUUGAAACAGAAUUUGGUGCCGCUGCCAGAGUUGAUUUCUUGGAGGGUUGCUGAAGGAUCUGCCGGCCAAAAGUAAAUCGACCUUCACACUGGUCUUCUGAAAUAAGCAAGCGUAUAGCAGAUAGGAGCUCAUGGUGGGAGUGCAAGUCCAUCGUAGGAUUUAGUAGCUGUACUUUGACCAAAUCAAUGAAUAGAAGCACUUAGAGUCUAGUAACAUUUCACGUUA